AUGCCUGUUUGAGUGUCAGUAUAAUUCUCAACUCCUCUUUGAUUUUAUUUGAGAGGGAGCUUGGAUCAUGGGGGCUGUCGGAGACUUUGGACCUUUGUGGUCCAGGACUUGGGCUCUCCUGAAAUGCAUUGGCUUGUGAUUGACUUUUUGACUUUGUGCGACAAG
This 165-nucleotide ribosomal RNA is filed under the name Gomphidius roseus. RNAcentral describes it as "5.8S ribosomal RNA". Lineage: Eukaryota; Fungi; Basidiomycota; Agaricomycetes; Boletales; Gomphidiaceae. The record is from RNAcentral.